AUUGAACGCUGGCGGCAGGCCUAACACAUGCAAGUCGAACGAGAGGCGGACGGGUGAGUAAUGUCUCGGCAACUGCCUGAUGGAUGGGGAUCACUACUGGAAACGGUUGCUAAUUCCGUAUACCAUCACAUGUGCCCAGUUGGGAUUAGCUUGGUGGUGGGGUAAAGGCUCACCAAGGCGACGAUCCCUAGCUGGUCUGAGAGGAUGACCAGCCACACUGGAACUGAGACACGUUCCAGACUCCUACGGGAGGCAGCAGUGGGGAAUAUUGCACAAUGGGCGAAAGCCUGAUGCAGCCAUGCCGCGUGUAUGAAGAAGGCCUUCGGGUUGUAAAGUACUUUCAGCGGGGAGGCGUUACCAGCAGAAGAAGCACCGGCUAACUCCGUGCCAGCAGCCGCGGUAAUUC
This 406-nucleotide ribosomal RNA is filed under the name uncultured bacterium. Its description in RNAcentral is "partial 16S ribosomal RNA". It matches the Rfam family "Bacterial small subunit ribosomal RNA", at positions 30 to 526 of the family's 1533-position model. The record is from RNAcentral.